AGAGUUUGAUCCUGGCUCAGGACGAACGCUGGCGGCGUGCUUAACACAUGCAAGUCGAACGAGACGAUUUAGAAGCUUGCUUUUAAAGAGUCGAGUGGCAAACGGGUGAGUAACGCGUAGACAACCUGCCUUUGAGAUGGGGACAACAGUCCGAAAGGACUGCUAAUACCGAAUGUUGUAACUCCUUCGCAUGAAGGAGAUACUAAAGAUGGCCUCUACUUGUAAGCUAUCGCUCAAAGAUGGGUCUGCGUCUGAUUAGCUUGUUGGNGGGGUAACGGCCCACCANGGCGACNAUCAUUAGCCGGUCUGAANGGAUGAACGGCCCAUUGNAAUGANANC
This 339-nucleotide ribosomal RNA is filed under the name uncultured bacterium. Its description in RNAcentral is "partial 16S ribosomal RNA". It matches the Rfam family "Bacterial small subunit ribosomal RNA", at positions 8 to 326 of the family's 1533-position model. The record is from RNAcentral.